AACGAACGUUGGCGGCAUGGAUUAGGCAUGCAAGUCGAGGGAAUCCGCCGCAAGGCGGGGAACCGGCGUAAGGGGCAGUAAGGCAUGGGUACCUACCCCGGGGUUCGGAAUAGCCACCAG
RNAcentral lists this ribosomal RNA (120 nucleotides) under uncultured bacterium. RNAcentral's name for it is "partial 16S ribosomal RNA". It matches the Rfam family "Bacterial small subunit ribosomal RNA", at positions 29 to 153 of the family's 1533-position model. The record is from RNAcentral.